This is a non-coding RNA of Acanthosepion pharaonis, 113 nucleotides long. Lineage: Eukaryota; Metazoa; Mollusca; Cephalopoda; Sepiida; Sepiidae. The record is from the annotation of a GenBank genome assembly.
UUGCGGCCAUAUUAUGUUGAAACAUCGGACACCGUAAGAUCACUGAAGUUAAGUAACGUCGAGCCUGUUCAGUAUCUAGAUGGGUAACCACUUGGGAAUAGCAGGUGCUGUUA